UACGUAGGGAGCAAGCGUUGUCCGGAAUCAUUGGGCGUAAAGGGCUCGUAGGCGGCCAACUAAGUCAGACGUGAAAUCCCCAGGCUUAACCUGGGAACUGCGUCUGAUACUGGAUGGCUUGAAUUCGGGAGAGGGAUGCAGAAUUCCAGGUGUAGCGGUGAAAUGCGUAGAUAUCUGGAGGAAUACCGGUGGCGAAGGCGGCAUCCUGGACCGAGAUUGACGCUGAUGAGCGAAAGCUAGGGGAGCAAACGGG
This 253-nucleotide ribosomal RNA is filed under the name uncultured bacterium. RNAcentral's name for it is "partial 16S ribosomal RNA". It matches the Rfam family "Bacterial small subunit ribosomal RNA", at positions 524 to 776 of the family's 1533-position model. The record is from RNAcentral.